GGAAUAUAAGAACUCGUAUCUUAAUUUUUAACUAAAAAAACUAAGAAUCGGUUCUUAAAUAAGAGUUUUAAGAGUCUGUUUUUAACUUUUUUAGUUAAAAGUUAAGAGACGGGUUCUUAUAUUCC
Non-coding RNA from Brassica napus (rape), 125 nucleotides. The record is from Rfam. Lineage: Eukaryota; Viridiplantae; Streptophyta; Magnoliopsida; Brassicales; Brassicaceae.